Molecule: long non-coding RNA, 1703 nt
Organism: Anguilla rostrata (American eel)
Lineage: Eukaryota; Metazoa; Chordata; Actinopteri; Anguilliformes; Anguillidae
Exons: 6
Source: RefSeq, a predicted model, not a curated record
CGGACCGUUUACCCAGGGUACACCAGGAAAGAGAGAGGGGAAAAUGGCGCUGUUGAGGCGGCACUGAGAUCUGAGGGAAGCAAGCCGGUUUGUUGAAUCUGAAAUAGCGGGCAAAAUGCCUCGCUGCCAAAUUCCUGGAUGACCAACUAUCGCAGCAAAAGGAGUCCAUCGUCCUUCGGAAUUAAUUUGACUGAGUUUAUGACAGUUCUUAUGGACUCACAAAGGAGUUUAAUCAGCGAUGAACCCACACAUUUAAGAGACAAGAUUUAAUUAAAAAACGAAGGGUAGCUUCUACAGUCUCCUGAUUUCAAGAGGAACAUUAAAAGGAGGAAAGCGGAGAGUGACUGUCAAGCUCUCCAGGAGGGGAUGAGAGCUGUACCUGACAAACUGUCCUAUGACAUCACGACGUGAAAAAAAAAAAAAAAAUGCACUCAAUGACUUGUACAAAGUGGUGAAGAAUUUUGAAGCCAGAGUCGGAUUCACAGAAGACCUUGAAAAUCUCAGGUAAUUCUUGAAACAAGACUAAUGGUUUAAGACACCGCUUGCUCUGAGGAAGAAGAUUUCAACGGGACAUCUGCACAAAUUUCUACUGGGAGGAGGGUCAGACCCUGACAUCACCUAGCAACCCUGGCCACGCAGCAGCAUCGAUGGGGCCGUUACAUUCGGAGGAAGAGGAGGAGGAGGAUGAUGAUGGCAGCUGCUUGCCAGCCAUCUACCCCUUCACACAGCACACCUUCAAAGGGUGUCUGUGGGCGUGGCGAAUGGAGAGCGGAAGGUACAUGCCAAAAUGAGAGGACGGCGUGUACGGCAUCACAUAAAACAGGAGACCGGACCCAACUCUGAGGUGCACCCGGUGUUCGGACACGCCAUGACGAUGAGGAGGGCAGGGGUCAUCCGGAAGAGCCAACCUCGUCCAUCCGAAAUGAAACCGCGCCCAUUGGAUGUUAGGAAGCUUCCGGAACGGUGGUCGAACACGACUCUUGGCUUGCCCGUUUCACCUGAACACUGCUCCUCCCACGCUACCCACAAUCCCACUGAGGACGCUGGCGGAGGUGGGCCCGUGAGGCACCCGAGGAUGCCACCCAGAUUGAAAGCCGUCAGGCUGCAGCCGUAAUAGUUCUGUACACCAGCUCAUUUCAGCUUUUAUUUUAUAACGAGCCUCUUUAAGCAGAGCAGGACACAUUCAUCCCCUUCUCACUCACACUUUUCAAUACCCGGUUCCUCUUGCUUUGUCUGCUUCUCUGUACUUCAGCUGUUUGCCAUUCUCUUGAACUGACAGAUUUCUUGGUAGAAAUGAGGUGUGCAAGUUCUGCCUCUCUCCAUUAUGCACCUGAAUUUGAGGCUGUGAUAUGUCUGUUCGCUUCUGAUGGAACCACAAGCUUUCGACCUGCUGUUCCAGGAUGAGCCUCCUCCCUCCUUAUCUGGACUUUCAACACACCAAGAGCCUUUAGCAGCAAGUCAGUGGCCAUAGUUUAUUUAGAGAUUCUUAGGAUUGCCUUUCAUAUUUUUUGUUCCAGUUUGAUUGUCAGUACAGUAAGCAUAAGAGACUUUGGCAUUUGCCUCCUGUCCCAAUUCCUUGCCUGCAUCUUUCAUUUGCAUGUGCUUCCACGAUGGCUGGCAGUUUUUAGAUGGGUGUACCGUAGUUUAAGAAGAUCAGCGCUGUAAACCUGAAAGGGAUCAAAAUAAAUGAACUUUUUUGCGGA